RNAcentral lists this transfer RNA (82 nucleotides) under Brevibacillus sp. WF146. Lineage: Bacteria; Bacillati; Bacillota; Bacilli; Caryophanales; Paenibacillaceae. RNAcentral also lists the same sequence under 1 other name. The record is from Rfam by way of RNAcentral.
GCGGUCGUGGUGGAAUUGGCAGACACACCAUCUUGAGGGGGUGGCGGGGUGACCCGUGCGAGUUCGAGUCUCGCCGACCGCA